RNAcentral lists this ribosomal RNA (468 nucleotides) under uncultured bacterium. RNAcentral's name for it is "partial 16S ribosomal RNA". It matches the Rfam family "Bacterial small subunit ribosomal RNA", at positions 28 to 507 of the family's 1533-position model. The record is from RNAcentral.
GACGAACGCUGGCGGCGUGCUUAACACAUGCAAGUCGAACGGAAAGGCCCUGCCAUUGUGGGGUGCUCGAGUGGCGAACGGGCGAGUAACACGAAAGUAACCUGCCCUUGACUUAGGGAUAACUCCAGGAAACUGGGGCGAAUACCGGAUAGGAGCCCCUGCUGCAUGGUGGGGGGUGGAAAGUUUCCCCGGCUGGGGAUGGUCUCCCGGCUGUACAGAUUGUUUGUGGGGCAGUGGCUUACCAUGGCUUUGACGGGUAGCCGGCCUGAGAGGGUGACCUGCCACCUUGGGACAGUGACUCUGCCUAGCCUGCUACGGGGACCAGCGGUUGGGAAUAUUCCACUAUGGGCGGAAGCCUGAUGCUGCAACGCCGCCUGCGGGAUAACGGCCUUCGCGUUGCAACCCGCGUUCGCCUGGGACGAACCGUGGGUGACCGUAAUGUGUCAAGAAGCUCCCGCUACCCAGUUG